This 504-nucleotide ribosomal RNA is filed under the name uncultured bacterium. RNAcentral describes it as "partial 16S ribosomal RNA". It matches the Rfam family "Bacterial small subunit ribosomal RNA", at positions 28 to 523 of the family's 1533-position model. The record is from RNAcentral.
GAUGAACGCUAGCAACAGGCUUAACACAUGCAAGUCGAGGGGCAGCACGGGAGUAGCAAUACAACUGGUGGCGACCGGCGCACGGGUGAGUAACGCGUAUGCAACCUACCUAUCAGAGGGGAAUAACCCGGCGAAAGUCGGACUAAUACCGCAUAAAACAGGGGCACCGCAUGGUGAUAUUUGUUAAAGAAAUUCGCUGAUAGAUGGGCAUGCGUUCCAUUAGGUAGUUGGUGAGGUAACGGCUCACCAAGCCGACGAUGGAUAGGGGAACUGAGAGGUUGGUCCCCCACACUGGUACUGAGACACGGACCAGACUCCUACGGGAGGCAGCAGUGAGGAAUAUUGGUCAAUGGGCGGGAGCCUGAACCAGCCAAGUCGCGUGAAGGAAGAAGGAUCUAUGGUUCGUAAACUUCUUUUGCAGGGGAAUAAAGUGCAGGACGUGUCCUGUUUUGUAUGUACCCUGAGAAUAAGGAUCGGCUAACUCCGUGCCAGCCGCCGCUGUAA